This 556-nucleotide long non-coding RNA is filed under the name Marmota monax (woodchuck). Lineage: Eukaryota; Metazoa; Chordata; Mammalia; Rodentia; Sciuridae. The record is from RNAcentral.
CUUCCAACUAUGAAAAGAAAGGAAUGUAAGAUUGCAAACAACGAGGACAAGGACUGUGUCUGUCAUGUUCAUUAUUACACUUGCAAUGCCCAGAACAGCACAUCGUAACAGACAUUAUUGUUGUUGUGUUUUGUUUUGCAGUAUUGGAGAUGGAACCCAGGACCUUGCACAUGCUAGUCAAGCAUUCUACCACUGAAUUGCAUCCCCUGCGUACAAAUGUGUUUUUACUGACUACUAUUUUCAGACAUGAACUAAACCUCAUGGGUGUUGAGAGAAAACCAGAGCACCGACAAACUGGACUGGACUACAGGUGGUGAAAGGCUCAGAGCCUGUAGGAAACAGGAAGGAAGGCAGAAGAAUUGGAGACCAGCCAGGAGGGACUGGGAACAGCCGGGCUACACUGCUCCUUAGUUACCAAGGGCUUUGUCCAGCCAGAUGUCCUCAGCAUCGCCUUGGUGUUCUCCCUGAAGAAUUUGACUAUUCAUUCUAAAGUCGUCUCAAACGCUGACCACAUUCACAAAUACUCCUCAGAGGCCAAAUACAUUUUUAAAUGCUC